Molecule: ribosomal RNA, 584 nt
Filed under: uncultured bacterium
Lineage: Bacteria
Description: partial 16S ribosomal RNA
Rfam family: Bacterial small subunit ribosomal RNA
Source: RNAcentral
UGGGGAAUUUUGGACAAUGGGCGAAAGCCUGAUCCAGCAAUGCCGCGUGUGUGAAGAAGGCCUUCGGGUUGUAAAGCACUUUUGUCCGGAAAGAAAUCCUUGGCUCUAAUACAGUCGGGGGAUGACGGUACCGGAAGAAUAAGCACCGGCUAACUACGUGCCAGCAGCCGCGGUAAUACGUAGGGUGCAAGCGUUAAUCGGAAUUACUGGGCGUAAAGCGUGCGCAGGCGGUUUGCUAAGACCGAUGUGAAAUCCCCGGGCUCAACCUGGGAACUGCAUUGGUGACUGGCAGGCUAGAGUAUGGCAGAGGGGGGUAGAAUUCCACGUGUAGCAGUGAAAUGCGUAGAGAUGUGGAGGAAUACCGAUGGCGAAGGCAGCCCCCUGGCCAAUACUGACGCUCAUGCACGAAAGCGUGGGGAGCAAACAGGAUUAGAUACCCUGGUAGUCCACGCCCUAAACGAUGUCAACUAGUUGUUGGGGAUUCAUUUCCUUAGUAACGUAGCUAACGCGUGAAGUUGACCGCCUGGGGAGUACGGUCGCAAGAUUAAAACUCAAAGGAAUUGACGGGGUCAUAGCUGUUUCCU